This 429-nucleotide ribosomal RNA is filed under the name Chloroflexota bacterium. Its description in RNAcentral is "Chloroflexi bacterium partial 16S ribosomal RNA". It matches the Rfam family "Bacterial small subunit ribosomal RNA", at positions 355 to 776 of the family's 1533-position model. The record is from RNAcentral. Lineage: Bacteria; Bacillati; Chloroflexota.
UGGGGAAUAUUGCACAAUGGGCGCAAGCCUGAUGCAGCCAUGCCGCGUGUAUGAAGAAGGCCUUCGGGUUGUAAAGUACUUUCAGCGGGGAGGAAGGGAGUAAAGUUAAUACCUUUGCUCAUUGACGUUACCCGCAGAAGAAGCACCGGCUAACUCCGUGCCAGCAGCCGCGGUAAUACGGAGGGUGCAAGCGUUAAUCGGAAUUACUGGGCGUAAAGCGCACGCAGGCGGUUGAUUGAGUCAGAUGUGAAAUCCCCGGGCUUAACCCGGGAAUUGCAUCUGAUACUGGUCAGCUAGAGUCUUGUAGAGGGGGGUAGAAUUCCAUGUGUAGCGGUGAAAUGCGUAGGGAUGUGGAGGAAUACCGGUGGCGAAGGCGGCCCCCUGGACAAAGACUGACGCUCAGGUGCGAAAGCGUGGGGAGCAAACAGG